GCAAGUCGAACGAGAGCGUAGAGAAAGCUUGCUUUUUCUACAAUCUAGUCGCUAACGGGUGAGUAACGCGUAAACAACCUGCCCUACGGAUGGGGACAACAGCUGGAAACGGCUGCUAAUACCGAAUACGUUCCGAAAGUCGCAUGACUAUCGGAAGAAAGGAUGGCCUCUAUUUAUAAGCUAUCGCCGGAGGAGGGGUUUGCGUCUGAUUAGCUAGUUGGAGGGGUAACGGCCCACCAAGGCGACGAUCAGUAGCCGGUCUGAGAGGAUGAACGGCCACAUUGGAACUGAGACACGGUCCAGACUCCUACGGGAGGCAGCAGUGGGGAAUCUUCCGCAAUGGGCGAAAGCCUGACGGAGCAACGCCGCGUGAGUGAAGACGGCCUUCGGGUUGUAAAGCUCUGUUAUACGGGACGAAUAAUCUUGUGGUUAAUACCCAUGAGAAGUGACGGUACCGUAAGAGAAAGCCACGGCUAACCACGUGCCAGCAGCCGCGGUAAUACGUAGGUGGCAAGCGUUGUCCGGAAUUAUUGGGCGUAAAGGGCGCGCAGGCGGCUUCUUAAGUCUGUCUUAAAAGUGCGGGGCUUAACCCCGUGAUGGGAUGGAAACUGGGAAGCUCAGAGUAUCGGAGAGGAAAGCGGAAUUCCUAGUGUAGCGGUGAAAUGCGUAGAUAUUAGGAGGAACACCAGUGGCGAAAGCGGCUUUCUGGACGAAAACUGACGCUGAGGCGCGAAAGCCAGGGGAGCGAACGGGAUUAGAUACCCCGGUAGUCCUGGCCGUAAACGAUGGGUACUAG
This 796-nucleotide ribosomal RNA is filed under the name uncultured bacterium. Its description in RNAcentral is "bacterial SSU rRNA". It matches the Rfam family "Bacterial small subunit ribosomal RNA", at positions 57 to 819 of the family's 1533-position model. The record is from RNAcentral.